Molecule: ribosomal RNA, 459 nt
Filed under: uncultured Treponema sp.
Lineage: Bacteria; Pseudomonadati; Spirochaetota; Spirochaetia; Treponematales; Treponemataceae
Description: bacterial SSU rRNA
Rfam family: Bacterial small subunit ribosomal RNA
Source: RNAcentral
ACGGGAGGCAGCAGCUAAGAAUAUUCCGCAAUGGACGAAAGUCUGACGGAGCGACGCCGCGUGGAUGAUGAAGGUCGAAAGAUUGUAAAAUCCUUUUAGGAGUGAAGAAUAAGCGGUGCAGGGAAUGGCAUCACGGUGACGGUAGCUCCUGAAUAAGCAACGGCUAAUUACGUGCCAGCAGCCGCGGUAACACGUAAGUUGCGAGCGUUGUUCGGAAUUAUUGGGCGUAAAGGGUAUGUAGGCGGUCGUGCAAGCUUGGUGUGAAAGGCAGGGGCUCAACCCCUGGACUGCAUUGAGAACUGCAAGACUUGAAUUGCUGAAGGGCAGCCGGAAUUCCAGGUGUAGGGGUGAAAUCUGUAGAUAUCUGGAAGAACACCAAUGGCGAAGGCAGGCUGCUGGCAGAUGAUUGACGCUGAGGUACGAAAGUGCGGGGAGCAAACAGGAUUAGAUACCCUGGUA